CGAAUUUCAGUUUCAAAAUCCCUCCAAAGGGUAAGGUUUCUUCUGGAUUAGUACCAUUUUCAACGGAAUGAGAAUGAGGUUCGUUCAAUUUCAAGCAAAGGACGUAGGCACAAGGAGAUUUCAACACCUGGAAGAUUCGAGUACAGCUCAUACAAACGGAUAAGGUGACGUGAUUUCUAGGUCUCGCCCAAGAUUAAACUCGUAGAGAAAGAGAAGUACGCGCCGGGUUGAUGAAUUG
RNAcentral lists this unclassified non-coding RNA (238 nucleotides) under Hevea brasiliensis (rubber tree). The record is from RNAcentral. Lineage: Eukaryota; Viridiplantae; Streptophyta; Magnoliopsida; Malpighiales; Euphorbiaceae.